GACGAACGCUGGCGGUGCGCCUUAUGCAUGCAAGUUGAGCGAAGCAUUUUGGUAGUUUACUACUGAAAAUGACUGAGCGGCGAACGGGUGAGUAACGCGUGAGUAAUCUACCUUAGUUACUGGGAUAGCCCGAGGAAACUCGGAUUAAUACUGGAUAUUCUUAUUUUUUCACAUGAAGUUUUAAGGAAAGGUCAGCCGAACUAAGAUGAGCUCGCGUUCUAUCAGCUAGUUGGUGGGGUAAAAGCCUACCAAGG
RNAcentral lists this ribosomal RNA (254 nucleotides) under uncultured Bacillota bacterium. Its description in RNAcentral is "uncultured Firmicutes bacterium partial 16S ribosomal RNA". It matches the Rfam family "Bacterial small subunit ribosomal RNA", at positions 28 to 273 of the family's 1533-position model. The record is from RNAcentral. Lineage: Bacteria; Bacillati; Bacillota.